AGAGGAGAGGGGACCUCAGGCAAGACUCCGGGCCCGCAUGAUUGGCUGGGGAAGCUGCUUUAAUGGCUGGGCCUCCUUGGCAGCGGGCUCGCGGCAGGGCAGGACCUUGAAGACCACGCGGUUCAACUUCCAGUUUGCAGAUGUGGAAACGGAAGCCCAGAGAGGGUAUGCCACCGGCGCAAGGUUACACAGCUGGUUAGUGGCCUGCUCGGGCCUGGACCCCCGCGCUCCGGACUGCCCUUGGCCUUGCACCCAGCUUCCCCCUUCGAGGAGAUGACCCAGACGCCAAGUGAUCCACAAUUUUGUUUCCAAGACAACUUUCUCCUGCACCCCUCGCCGCGGUUUGCCGAGCCACCUCCUCUGCUCAACAUCAGUUGUGUUAAUACCAGUGAAGGCAAAUGGAUUUUUAAAGUAGCUGGAAUAAUACGCUGGGGAGAUAAAUGUUUUGCAGCAAAGUUCCAGUCAAACAUAAGAUCCGAGAGAAAUAAUUUUAGUCCAAUUGAGGUUACUGAUGCUGCUGUCCAGUCCCUGUCUAACUCACACACUCCUGCAUUCAGCAGGUGCUAGGGAGGCACCGCAGUGAGUGAGUGCACACACAGUCUAGGAACUGACUACCUGGGUUCAUCCUAGCCCAUCUCUGCCACUUCCCAGCUUGUGUUACUUAGUUUGCUUAUAUAUAAAAUGCUAAUUUACCUACC
This is a long non-coding RNA of Myotis daubentonii (Daubenton's bat), 698 nucleotides long. RefSeq lists it as uncharacterized. NCBI's taxonomy places the organism in Eukaryota, Metazoa, Chordata, Mammalia, Chiroptera, Vespertilionidae. The transcript is spliced from 3 exons. The record is from RefSeq and is a predicted model, not a curated record.